UUUAUAGAAUAUGUCACAUUUGUGCAAGCACUGUGGAAAGAAAUUUUAAGGUCGAAGUGGUUUACGACAACAUGAGAUAGGCAUGAUGGACAGGGGCCAUAUUCAUGUAAUGAAUGCAAGCUUGUUUUUUUUUCAGCAAGUCAAACUUUACUUCCCAUUUGGCAAGCGAAAAACACCAAAACCAUAAGCCAUUCAUAUGUAAAACGUGUGGCAAGUCAUUUGCAACAGAUGCCUAUCUGAAGAACCACUGC
RNAcentral lists this long non-coding RNA (251 nucleotides) under Mytilus galloprovincialis (Mediterranean mussel). The record is from RNAcentral. Lineage: Eukaryota; Metazoa; Mollusca; Bivalvia; Mytilida; Mytilidae.